UUGACUUAUUUGUGUAAGUACUCAGAGAGGCCUAAAAUAAUCAAGAGUUUGGUGCCCUCCGGCGGGCGCCCCGCAAGCGGGGCCGCGGCUCUACCCUAGAGCCGCCCGCCGAAGCAACGUUACGGGGUACGUUCACAAUGGUUUAUGGGAGUUUUGCAACUCUUUAAUGAUCCCUCCGCUGGUUCACCAACGGAGA
RNAcentral lists this unclassified non-coding RNA (196 nucleotides) under uncultured fungus. RNAcentral describes it as "sequence contains ITS1". Lineage: Eukaryota; Fungi. The record is from RNAcentral.